UGUGUUUGCAUAGUGUGUAUAUAAUGCAGUGUGUUUGUGUAGUGUGUUUAUAUAAUGCACACUACACAAACACACUGCAUUAUAUACACACUAUACAAACAC
This 102-nucleotide microRNA precursor is filed under the name Pelobates cultripes (western spadefoot toad). Lineage: Eukaryota; Metazoa; Chordata; Amphibia; Anura; Pelobatidae. The record is from RNAcentral.